Limulus polyphemus (Atlantic horseshoe crab) is the source of this 524-nucleotide long non-coding RNA. RefSeq lists it as uncharacterized. The record is from RefSeq and is a predicted model, not a curated record. The transcript is spliced from 2 exons. Lineage: Eukaryota; Metazoa; Arthropoda; Merostomata; Xiphosura; Limulidae.
UUUAAAAAUCCGCUGUGGUACGAUGAAAUCGAAAACAAAAACUUAUACCACGAAAAAUGGCUAAUGCGAAAUAGAUGUUUCAAUAUUCACAACAUUUCGGGCUGGGACGCUCUUUAUCUGGUGAUUUUAAACUUAGCCGGCGUGCCUUUUCUCUGGUGAUUUUAAAAUUAGCCAUUUUUCAUGGUAUAAGAUUUUCCACUUUUUGUUUUCUUAUACAUCUUAGUAUAGCUUGUGUUUGUAUAGAAAAAAGUCUUUCUGACAUAGUUCAUGAUAUUUUAUGAGAACUUAUGGUUUGAGUCAUAGUCACAACGGCUAAAUUUCGUGAUGCGUUUUAAACAAUAGAAAAGAACCUUGAUGAUGACAUCUAGAACAAACCCAGAACUGAUCUGCCCGUAACAUUUCACAGCAUGUACAGAUUUGUCAUAUGAUAAAAACAGCAGACUGUUGAAAACAAUUGAAAUAGAUCUGUCAUUUGAUAAAAACAACCAGCUACUAAAAAAACUGAAAUAGAUCUGUCAUUUGAU